AUGAAAUUCUCAGCACCACACAAUAAAGAUAACGUUUUCGAUUCCCUCUCAACUUCAACCUCUCUCUCUCUCUCUCUGCUCCAUCUUCAUCUUCAAUUCUUCAUCUUCAUCUCUGUUGUAAUUUCGAUCUUCAUCACCUUACAGACAUGGCGGUUGCUGCUUAUGCAUCCUUGGUUUCUCUCACUCAUGUCCUCGACAAUCUCCACUAUCGUGCCCGAUUUAAUAUCCCUCGUGCUGACAUCAACCAAGUCGAAGCUCUCCAGAAAAAUGUCAAUUCCUUGCUGGAAUUUGUUGAGCUUCAUUCCGAAAGGAAGAUCCCUGAGCUUCGAGGUUUGUGGAGGAAAAUGGCUGAGGCUGCCGCUGAAGCAGAAAGUGAUAUCAACUUCCAUGUAGCCAAUCUACUCUAUGCCAAAUCUCAAGGAGAAACGAGUGAUACUUCAAGCUUCUCAGCUUUCUGUGAUGAAAUGGAGACACUGAUCCAAAAGUUUUGUUCCAUUGAAAAAGAGUUUCCGGUGAUUGAAGAAGACGGCGGGGAGGAUGCUCCAGCUCAAAAGCAAUCCAAUUAUGCUUCUGUUGCUGCUGGUGGUUCGCCUGCAGCUACUUCAUAUGUCAGCAAUGUUGUGGUUGGACUGGAUGAGCAUGUGAACACGAUAAGGGACAAGCUCGUCAGAGGUAGAUCUAAGCUCGAAAUCCUCCCAAUUGUCGGCAUGGGAGGAAUUGGUAAGACCACUCUUGCUAAAAGACUCUUUGAAGAUUCAUUUGUUGUCGACCACUUUGAUUUGCUCAUCUGGCUUACUAUAUCUCAAGAAUAUAGUUAUGAACAAAUCCUUAAAGUUGGUCUUGAAGGAAAGGCAGGAGAAGACGAAAAUUUAGAUGAGUUGGGAACUAAAUUCUACCAAAAAUUAUUCGGUAGAAGGUACUUGAUUGUUAUGGACGACAUGUGGUCAACUGGAGCUUGGGAUGAGUUAAAGAACUAUUUUCGUGACGAUGAGAAUGGAAGUCGUAUUUUGCUGACAACUAGACUCUCAAAUAUGGUGGUUUCUUUGGGUUGUCAUGAUCUCUAUCGAUUGGCAUUUUUAGAUCAGAAUGAAAGUUGGAGUUUAUUUUGUCAAAAUGCUUUUUCUCAAAAUGGUUGUCCAUACGGUCAUUUAGAUAAGUUUGCAAAGGACAUUACAAAAAGUUGUAGAGGGCUUCCUUUGGAAAUUGUUGUUGUUGGUCGAUUUCUUGCGAAUUCUGACAUGACCGUAAAAUAUUGGGAGAAUAUUGUAAAUAAUAUUAGCUCACUCGCUAAUUUGGAAGAUGAUGAGCAUUGUAAGAAAGUACUAUCUUUAAGUUACGAGAGUUUAUCCAUUCAUCUCAAACCAUGUUUUUUGUAUUUGAGAGUUUUUCCUGAAGACAGUAAAAUUGUAGUCUCAGAGCUAAUUGAGUCUUGGAUAUCUGAAGGAUUCAUUAAGUCAACGAGUGAUAGAACUUUAGAAGAUAUUGCAAAGGAGUAUGUAAAAAGCCUCAUUGAUAGGAAUCUAAUAUUUGAUCGGGAUGAAUAUACAUGCGGCAUUCAUGAUCUUUUACGGGAUCUUUGUUUAAAAGAGUCUGCCAAUGAAUGUUUUCUCCAAUUUCCUAGAAGGCAAGAGGUUAAUAGAAGAAGGUUAAGAGACACUGUGCAGUGUCAUCUUUGUCUAGAAAGUCUCGAGGAAAAAGAAGGAAUGCAUAUAGUGCAACCAUGUUAUAUAUUUGGAUUAUCGUCACAAGUUAAUCCUCUUGUAUGCGAUGGUUGUACUAUGGUGUAUUCGCAAAUUAAAAGACAUAAUAAUUUGGUGAAGAUGGCAAACUACGAUGAUGGUUUUGAUAUAGAAAGUUUUCAGCCAAUAGAAUUGCGUUGUGUUGCUGUAAGUAUGGUGAAAUCAUUGUCUUCUUCAACAUUAAAGUUACUUUGGAAUCUUCAAACUUUCAUCAUUUCGUUCUCAUCAAUUAAGGAUUUGCCUCCAGAGAUAUGGGAGAUGCCACAACUAAGAGAGAUUCGAUGUUCAUACGAUGCUCAUUUCCCAGAUCCUAUAGCCACUGAUAUUGAGGGGGAAGAUUUUAUUAUCCUCAAGGACCUUCACACCUUAAAUGGAAUCGGUAAUUUCAAUUGUACAAAGGAAGUCAUUGAUCGGAUCCCAAAUUUGAAGAAAUUGAGGAUAAGUUAUGGAAAUGGAUCUGAGACGGGCGUGAUACAGCUGUACGAUUAUUCUCUAUGUAAUCUUGAGCAGCUACAGAAACUUGAAUCUCUAUCUAUAUCAGGUUGCUUGGAGGAGAUGACCUUCCCUAAUUCCCUCAAGGAAUUGCGUUUGAUCAAUUGUAUGGGAAUAGCAUGGGAAGAUAUGUCAAUUGUUGGUUUGCUGCCGAGUCUUGAAACACUUGAGAUAUCUGAUGGUGGCGUGCAUGGGUCAGAGUGGGAGCCUGUUCAAGGGGAAUUUCGUCGCCUGAAAGAAUUGGACAUUAACAAUACUGAUUUAGUGUGUUGGAGAGCUGAAUCGGUGCACUUCCCUAUUCUGGAGAAGCUCAAACUUAUUGGAUUACGUUCAUUGGAGGAGAUCCCUUGGGGAAUUGGAGAUAUACUAACACUGAAAUCAAUUGAUGUGAUAAGAUGCAGUGAGUCUGUCGUUGAUUCGGCAAAGGAAAUAUGGGUGGAGCAACACGAGCUUGGAAAUGAGAUUAGAAUUGAUAUUACUGAUGAAGAACAAGGGAUCGAAUAUCAAAUUGGUACUUUCACUGCAAGAAUGACCGGGGCAGCUUGUGAAUCCUUGGCUUAUUUGAAACAUCUUCCGGAAAAACUCUCCAAGGUUGCUCAACAUGGCCGCGACUCUUUAAAUGGAAAACAAAUGGAAGCUGUGGAGGAAGCCAUCCAUUUUUUCAAGGACUUCUUUAAAGUUUUUCACCCAAGAAAAAGCCAAGAAAUGGAAAGUUUGCUAAGGGAAAUGGCCCAGGCUACCCAUAAAGCAGAGAUUGUGGUCCGCAGGCUACGCUCGGAAACUUUGAUGCCUAUACUUGGUAAGUGCGUCCGUGAAGAUGUGGAAAGGCUGUUGGAAAAGAUAGACUUCAUAAGAAAGGCAUUGUCAGUUGCUGAAGAGGAAGGGCAAGAAAACGAACAAAUUAAUGGUGAUAAUGAUGCCACAUCCUAUGAUAUCAACUCACUGAAAAUUAUGCGUGCAGAUUUACUUCGUUACAGGGAUGAAGAUCUGAGAGAAUAUCAAAUUGGUUCCGUCACGGCAGCACUGACGGAGGAUGCUAGUUUAAUCUGGUCUGAUUUAGCAUGCGCAUUGGAGGUCCUCCGGAAGGCUUCUGAGCUCGGCCGUCAUCAUCUAAACACAAAGCUAAUGGAAAAUGUCGACAAAUCCAUCAGUUUCCUGCAAGAUGUUGUUAAAGUUCAUCCUCAAAUCAUACUCCAGUACACCAAAGCUAUUGGUUAUGGGUACAUGUAUUAUUAUCUUGUCAUGGCAGUAGAGGAUCUGAAUUCCAAGCAUCUUGGGCGACAAUCUCUGGAAGAUGCAACUGAUGAAGAAAUCUUAUCCUUUUCUGAACAUGUGGAAAACGUUUUGAAUAAAUUAAUAAACCACAGAAUAUGGUUCACUAAGGCCUCGAAAUUAAAGACCCACUCACAAGAAGAAUCGACCGAUGAAGAAAUAUGAUCUACCAAGAUGUGAAAAGGAAAUAAAAUGAAAAGGCGAAAAGGAAUUUGUGUUUCGUCAAUUUAGGAUUUCUGCUGUUCGUCGUCGACUCGUCAGAGCAAUGGUUUCGAAUUCAAUCCCUGCCACCUCAAUCGCCUCCGCCUCAUCCAACCCUAAAGAUUUCGCCAAGAAGAAACGGACAUGGCUGUUGCUGUUGCUGCUUAUGCAUCCUUGGUCUCUCUCAAUCAUGUCCUCGACAAUCUCCACUACCGCGCCCGAUUUAGUAUCCCUCGUGCUGACAUCAACCAAGUUGAAGCUCUCCAGGAAAAUGUCAAUUCCUUGCUGGAAUUUGUCGAGCUUCAUUCCGAAAGGAAGAUCCCUGAGCUUCGACGUUUGUGGAGGAAAAUGGAUGAGGCUGCAGCUGAAGCAAAAGGCGCCAUAAACUUCCAUGUAUCCAAUCUACUCUAUGCCAAAGCUCAAGGAGAAAUGAGUGAUACUUCAAGCUUCUCAGAUUUCUGCGAAGAAAUGGAGACACUGAUCCAAAAGUUCUGUUCCAUCGAAAAAGACUUGCCGGUGAUUGAAGAAAGGGAGGAUAAUCAAGCCCAAAAGCAAUCCAAUUAUGCUGGUGGUUCGACUGCAGCUACUUCGUAUGCCAGUAAUGUUGUUGUUGGACUGGAUAAGCGUGCGAAGACGAUCAGUCAGAGGUAGGUCGAAGCUCGAAAUCCUCCCAAUAGUCGGCAUGGGAGGUAUUGGUAAGACCACUCUCGCUAAAAGUCUCUUUGAAGAUUCAUUUGUUGUCGACCACUUUGAUUUACGCAUCUGGCUUACUAUAUCUGAACAAUAUAGUGCUGAACAAAUCCUUAAAGUUGGUCUUGAAGGAAAGACAGCAGGAGAAAACGAAAUAUGCGAAAGUUUAGAUGAGUUGGGAACUAGAUUCUACCAAAAAUUAUUCGGUAGAAGGUACUUGAUUGUUAUGGAUGACAUGUGGUCAACUGAAGCUUUGGAUGAUUUACGGAGGUAUUUUCCCGACAAUGACGAUGGAAGUCGUAUUUUGUUGAUGACUAGACUCUCAGGCAUGGCUACUUCUCUGGGUUCUCAUGAUCCCUAUCAUUUAACAUUUUUAAAUGAGAAUGAAAGUUGGAGGUUAUUAUGUCAAAAUACAUUUUCUCAAAAUGGUUGUCCAUACGGUCAUUUAGAGAAGUUUGCAAAGGACAUUGCAAAAGGUUGUAGAGAGCUUCCUUUGGAAAUUGUUGUUGUUGGUCGAAUGCUUGCCAAUUCUGACAUGACGGUGAAAUAUUGGGAGAAUGUUGUAAAUCAUAUUAGCUCACUUGCUAAUUUGGAAUAUGACAAGCAUUGUAGGAAAAUACUAUCUUUAAGUUAUGAGAGUUUACCUAUUCAUCUCAAACCAUAUUUUUUAUAUUUGAGAGUUUUUCCUGAAGAUGGCUUGAUUAAUCUCUCAAAGCUAAUAGGCUUUUGGAUUGCUGAAGGAUUCAUUAAAUCAAAGAAAUAUAGAAGUUUGGAAGAUAUUGCACGGGAGUAUGCAAAAAGUCUCAUUGACAGAAAUCUAAUGUUUGAACAGAAUGAAAAUGGAUGUGUCAUUCAUGAUCUUUUACGGGAUUUCUGUUUGAGAGAGUCUGACGAUGAAUGUUUUCUCAAAUUUCCCAGAAGGCGAAUUGUUUCAGGAAGGUUAAGAGUUGUGCACUGUAAUCUUUGUCAAGAAUUUCUCAAGGGGAAAGAAGGAAUGCAUAUAGUGCAACCAUUUUAUAUAUUUGGAUUAUCGUCACAAGUUAAUCCUCUUGCAUGCGAUGCUUGUACUAUGGUGAAUUCCCAUAUUAAAAGACAUGAUUUGGUGAAGAUUGCAACUUAAGAUGAUGGUUUGGACACAGAAACUUUGCAGCCAAUAGAAUUGCUUUGUGUUGAUAUAGGGUGGAUAAAAUCAUUUUUCCAUUCAACAUUAAAGUUACUUUGGAAUCUUCAAAGUUUAAUGAUUUCAUACUCAUCAGUUGAAGAGUUACCUCCAGAGAUAUGGGAGAUGCCACAACUAAGAGAGAUUCGAUGUGAAUACCUUCAUCUAGCAGAUCCUAUAGCCACUGAUAUUGAGGGGGAAGAUUUUAUUAUCCUCAAGGACCUUCACACCAUAGAUGGAAUCUGUAAUUUCAAUUGUUCCAAACAAGUCAUUGAUCGGAUCCCAAAUUUGAAGAGAUUGAACGUUAAAUAUGGUGAUGGAUCUAAGAGGGGGUGCAAAACAGCUGAACUAUUCUCUAUGUAAUUUUGAGCAACUACAGAAACUUGAAUCUCUAUCUAUAAUAAAUUGCUUGGAGAAGAUGAGCUUCCCUAUUCCCUCAAGAAAUUGCAUUUCAUCUAUUGCAGAAUAGCAUGGGAAGAUAUGUCAAUUAUUGGUUUGCUGCCGAGUCUUGAAACACUUCAAGAUAUCUGGUGGUGUGCAGGGGUCAGAGUGGGAGCCUGUUCAAGGGGGAUUUCGUCGCCUGAAAGAAUUGGACAUUAACAAUACUGAUUUAGUGUGUUGGAGAGCUGAAUCGAUGCACUUCCCUAUUCUUGAGAGGCUUCAACUUACUGAAUUACGUUUGUUGGAGGAGAUCCCUUCGGGCAUUGGAGAUAUACUAACAUUGAAAUCAAUUGGUGUGUGGUAUUGCAGUGAGUCUAUCAUUGAUUCGGCAAAGGAAAUAUGGGUGGAGCAACACGAGCUUGGAAAUGAGAUUAGAAUUGAUAUUACUGAUGGAGAACAUGGGGUCGAAUAUCAAAUUGGUACUUUCACUGCAAGAAUGACAGGGGCAGCUUGUCAAUCCUUGGCUUAUUCGAAACCUCUUAGGGAAAGACUCCAAGAGGUUGCUUGACGUGGCCGCCACUCUCUAAGCUCAAAACAAAUGGAAGCUGUGGAGGAAGCCAUCCAUUUUUUCAAGGACUUCUUUAAAGUUUUUCAUCCAAGAAAAAGCCAAGAAAUGGAAAGUUUGCCACGAGAAAUGGCCCAGGCUACCCAUAAAGCAGAGGUUGUGGUCCGCAGGCUACGAUCGGAAACUUUGAUGCCUAUACUUGGUAAGUGCGUCCGUGAAGAUGUGAAAAGGCUGUUGGAAAAGAUAGACUUCAUAAGAAAGGCGUUGUCGGUUGCUGAAGAGGAAUGGCAAGAAAACGAACAAACUGAUAAUAAUUCCACAUCCUAUGAUAUCAACUCAAUGAUAUUUUGGGGGGGACAUCCUAACAGGGAUGAUGAUCUGAGAGAAUAUCAAAUUGGUUCUGUCACAGCAACAAUGACGGAGGCGGCUAGUUUAAUCUGGUCUGAUUUAGCAUGCGGCCUGGAGGUCCUCCGAAAGGCUUCUGAGCUCGGCCGUCAUCAUCUAACCACAAAGCUAAUGGAAAAUGUCGACGAAUCCAUCAGUUUCCUACAAGAUGUUGAAGUUCAUCCUCAAAUUAUACUCCAGCACUCGGAUGAUAUUGAUGUAGCGUACACAAAUUUUCUUAUCUAAGCAGCACAGCAUCUGAAUUCGGAGCAUCUUUUUCGACAAUCUCUGGAAGACGCAACUGAUGAAAAAAUCUUAUCCUUCUCUGAGGAUGUACAAGAGUUUUUGAAAAUCUUAAAAGACAUGUUUGAAAGGUAGCAAUCGAAGACGACUCAACUAGACUCACUCACUCACAAGAUAAAUAUAUAUGAAUCUGGCAAAUUGGCUGAGGAAGCCUGCAAUUGUUGUGCCGGAAGGACCUAAAAAAACAAAAAGCAAAAAUUCUGAAAGCCGGAAAAAGCUAAAAUUUUAUGUGCAAAAAUUGUUUCGAAAACUUAAAAAGAUCACUUAUGUGAGAGAAGUGAGGCAGCUUCCAAGAAGAAACAAUUGGCGAUGGAUGGAGGGCGAAUUCGCUUCGGUUGCCACGCCAGGCUAGGAUUUGAUUUCGCAUCUAUAAUUGAUUUUGUGUUUUUUAAUUUCAUCAUACCACAUAUUUUGCUAAUAAAAUAUUUUUCAACACAUAUUGUGGGAU
Molecule: RNA transcript, 7634 nt
Organism: Andrographis paniculata
Lineage: Eukaryota; Viridiplantae; Streptophyta; Magnoliopsida; Lamiales; Acanthaceae
Gene name: putative late blight resistance protein homolog R1B-17
Exons: 6
Source: RefSeq, a predicted model, not a curated record